AGCAGCCGCGGUAAUUCCAGCUCCAAUAGCGUAUAUUAAAGUUGUUGCAGUUAAAAAGCUCGUAGUUGAAUUUCGGGAUCAAAGGAUCGGUCAUGCCUUGGUAUGUACUGGUUUUAUUGGUUCUCACCUUCUAAAGAACCAUAAUGUCAUUCAUUUGAUGUUAUGGGGAAUUAGGACUGUUACCUUGAAAAAAUUUAGAGUGUUUAAAGCAGGCUUACGCUUGAAUACAUUAGCAUGGAAUAAUGAAAUAGGACAUCAGAUUCUAUUUUGUUGGUUUCUAGGAUCGAUGUAAUGAUUAAUAGGGAUAGUUGGGGGCAUUAGUAUUCAAUUGUCAGAGGUGAAAUUCUUGGAUUUAUUGAAGACUAACUACUGCGAAAGCAUUUGCCAAGGAUGUUUUCAUUAAUCAAGAACGAAAGUUAGGGGAUCGAAGACGAUCAGAUACCGUCGUAGUCUUAACCAUAAACUAUGCCGACUAGGGAUCGGAUGAUGUUAAUUUUUUAAUGACUCAUUCGGCGCCUUA
Molecule: unclassified non-coding RNA, 520 nt
Filed under: uncultured Glomus
Lineage: Eukaryota; Fungi; Glomeromycota; Glomeromycetes; Glomerales; Glomeraceae
Description: SSU rRNA
Rfam family: Eukaryotic small subunit ribosomal RNA
Source: RNAcentral